GGUCCGAACCCACGAGCGUUGAAAAGCUCGGGGAUGACUUGUGGGUAGCGGUGAAAUUCCAAUCGAGCCCGGAGAUAGCUGGUUCUCCCCGAAAUAGCUUUAGGGCUAGCCUCAAGGUGAGAGAUACGGAGGUAGAGCACUGAAUGUCCUAGGGGGUAUUGCACCUACCGAAGACUAUCAAACUCCGAAUGCCGUCAUCUUAUACUUGGGAGUCAGACUGUGGGUGAUAAGAUUCAUAGUCGAAAGGGCAACAGCCCAGAUCGUCAGCUAAGGUCCCUAAAUGUAAGUUAAGUGGUAAAGGAUGUGGGAUUGCACAGACAACCAGGAUGUUGGCUUAGAAGCAGCCACUCAUUCAAAGAGUGCGUAAUAGCUCACUGGUCGAGUGAUCCUGCGCCGAAGAUUUCCGGGCCUAAAACUUACUACCGAAGCUACGGCAUCAGUAAUGAUGGGUAGGGGAGCUUCCCAUACGGGUUGAAGCAUGACCGUAAGGACAUGUGGACAGUAUGGGAGUGAGAAUGUUGGCAUGAGUAGCGAGAUGUGGGUGAGAAUCCCACAGGCCGUAAACCCAAGGUGUCCAGGGGAAGGUUCGUCCGCCCUGGGUUAGUCGGGACCUAAGCUGAGGCCGAAAGGCGUAGGUGAUGGACAACAGGUUGAUAUUCCUGUACUACCGAUAACCGUUUGAGAGAUGGGAUGACACAGUAGGAUAAGCUAAGCACACUGUUGGUUAUGUGUGCCCAAGCAUUGAGGCAGUCAAAGUAGGCAAAUCCGCUUUGAUAAUGCUGGGAUGUGAUGGGGAGCGAAAUUUAGUAGCGAA
This 814-nucleotide ribosomal RNA is filed under the name Clostridioides difficile. Its description in RNAcentral is "bacterial LSU rRNA". It matches the Rfam family "Bacterial large subunit ribosomal RNA", at positions 771 to 1589 of the family's 2925-position model. The record is from RNAcentral. Lineage: Bacteria; Bacillati; Bacillota; Clostridia; Peptostreptococcales; Peptostreptococcaceae.